This 278-nucleotide ribosomal RNA is filed under the name uncultured bacterium. RNAcentral describes it as "partial 16S ribosomal RNA". It matches the Rfam family "Bacterial small subunit ribosomal RNA", at positions 506 to 784 of the family's 1533-position model. The record is from RNAcentral.
UGCCAGCAGCCCGGUAAUACGGAGGGAGCAAACGUUGUUCGGAUUUACUGGGUGUAAAGGGUGCGUAGGCGGCUUGAUAUGUCAGAGGUGAAAUCCUGCGGCUCAACCGUAGAAUUGCCUUUGAAACUGUCAGGCUUGAGUCCGUGAGAGGUUGGUGGAAUUCCUGGUGUAACGGUGAAAUGUGCAGAUAUCAGGAAGAACACCCGUGGCGAAGGCGGCCAACUGGCACGGUACUGACGCUGAGGCACGAAAGCGUGGGUAGCAAACAGGAUUAGAUA